CAGCAGCCACGGUAAUACGUAGGGUGCAAGCGUUAAUCGGAAUUACUGGGCGUAAAGCGUGCGCAGGCGGUUAUAUAAGACAGAUGUGAAAUCCCCGGGCUCAACCUGGGAACUGCAUUUGUGACUGUAUAGCUAGAGUACGGCAGAGGGGGAUGGAAUUCCGCGUGUAGCAGUGAAAUGCGUAGAUAUGCGGAGGAACACCGAUGGCGAAGGCAAUCCCCUGGGCCUGUACUGACGCUCAUGCACGAAAGCGUGGGGAGCAAACAGGAUUAGAUACCCGAGUAGUCCCUGUCUCUUAUAC
Molecule: ribosomal RNA, 301 nt
Filed under: uncultured bacterium
Lineage: Bacteria
Description: partial 16S ribosomal RNA
Rfam family: Bacterial small subunit ribosomal RNA
Source: RNAcentral